GACGAACGCUGGCGGCGUGCCUAAUACAUGCAAGUCGAGCGGACCAAAGGGAGCUUGCUCCUGGAGGUUAGCGGCGAACGGGUGAGUAACACGUGGGCAACCUGCCUGUAAGACUGGGAUAACAUCGAGAAAUCGGUGCUAAUACCGGAUAAUAAAAAGAACUGCAUGGUUCUUUUUUGAAAGAUGGUUUCGGCUAUCACUUACAGAUGGGCCCGCGGCGCAUUAGCUAGUUGGUGAGGUAACGGCUCACCAAGGCGACGAUGCGUAGCCGACCUGAGAGGGUGAUCGGCCACACUGGGACUGAGACACGGCCCAGACUCCUACGGGAGGCAGCAGUAGGGAAUCUUCCGCAAUGGACGAAAGUCUGACGGAGCAACGCCGCGUGAGUGAUGAAGGUUUUCGGAUCGUAAAACUCUGUUGUUAGGGAAGAACAAGUGCCGUUCGAAAGGGCGGCACCUUGACGGUACCUAACGAGAAAGCACGGCUAACUACGUGCCAGCAGCCGCGGUAAAGUC
RNAcentral lists this ribosomal RNA (515 nucleotides) under uncultured bacterium. RNAcentral describes it as "bacterial SSU rRNA". It matches the Rfam family "Bacterial small subunit ribosomal RNA", at positions 28 to 526 of the family's 1533-position model. The record is from RNAcentral.